ACAGGGAUUGCCUCAGUAACGGCGAGUGAAGCGGCAACAGCUCAAAUUUGAAAUCUGGCCCUCGGGUCCGAGUUGUAAUUUGCAGAGGAUGCUUUGGGCGAGGCGCCGUCCGAGUUCCCUGGAACGGGACGCCGGAGAGGGUGAGAGCCCCGUACGGUCGGACGCCGAGCCUCUGUAAAGCUCCUUCGACGAGUCGAGUAGUUUGGGAAUGCUGCUCUAAAUGGGAGGUAAAUCUCUUCUAAAGCUAAAUAUUGGCCACAGACCGAUAGCGCACAAGUAGAGUGAUCGAAAGAUGAAAAGCACUUUGAAAAGAGAGUUAAACAGCACGUGAAAUUGUUGAAAGGGAAGCGCUUGUGACCAGACGUGUGGCGGGUGAAUCAGCCGGCGUUCGCGCCGGUGCACUUUGCCCGCUACAGGCCAGCAUCGGUUCGCCGCUGGGGAGAAAGGCGGUGGGAAUGUGGCUCUUCGGAGUGUUAUAGCCCGCCGUGCAAUACCCUCUGGCGGACCGAGGUUCGCGCUCUGCAAGGAUGCUGGCGUAAUGGUCAUCAGCGACCCGUCUUGAAACACGGACCAAGGAGUCGUCCUAGUAUGCGAGUGUUUGGGUGCAAAACCCCUACGCGAAAUGAAAGUGAACGGAGGUGAGAGCUUCGGCGCAUCAUCGACCGAUCCUGAUGUCUUCGGAUGGAUUUGAGUACGAGCAUACUGGGCCGGACCCGAAAGAAGGUGAACUAUGCCUGUAUAGGGUGAAGCCAGAGGAAACUCUGGUGGAGGCUCGCAGCGGUUCUGACGUGCAAAUCGAUCGUCAAAUAUGGGCAUGGGGG
Molecule: ribosomal RNA, 821 nt
Filed under: Triadelphia pulvinata
Lineage: Eukaryota; Fungi; Ascomycota; Sordariomycetes
Description: eukaryotic LSU rRNA
Rfam family: Eukaryotic large subunit ribosomal RNA
Source: RNAcentral